CCCUUAGACGUUCUGGGCCGCACGCGCGCUACACUGACGAAGGCAACGAGCUUUCCUUUACCGAAAGGUACGGGUAAUCUUUUGAAACUUCGUCGUGCUGGGGAUAGAUCCUUGCAAUUAUUGAUCUUAAACGAGGAAUUCCUAGUAAGCGCAAGUCAUCAACUUGCGUUGAUUACGUCCCUGCCCUUUGUACACACCGCCCGUCGCUACUACCGAUUGAAUGGUUUAGUGAGGCCUUCGGAUCCGCGACUCGUUUUGUGGAGAAGUUGGACAACCUCAGUCAUUUAGAGGAAGUAAAAGUCGUAACA
This 308-nucleotide ribosomal RNA is filed under the name uncultured eukaryote. Its description in RNAcentral is "partial 18S ribosomal RNA". It matches the Rfam family "Eukaryotic small subunit ribosomal RNA", at positions 1470 to 1796 of the family's 1831-position model. The record is from RNAcentral.